RNAcentral lists this small RNA (18 nucleotides) under Arabidopsis thaliana (thale cress). RNAcentral's name for it is "ATSL101370". Lineage: Eukaryota; Viridiplantae; Streptophyta; Magnoliopsida; Brassicales; Brassicaceae. The record is from RNAcentral.
UGUUUCUUCUUCUUCUUG